AUUGAACGCUGGCGGCAUGCCUUACACAUGCAAGUCGAACGGUAACGGGCCUUCGGGUGCCGACGAGUGGCGAACGGGUGAGUAAUACAUCGGAACGUGCCCGAUCGUGGGGGAUAACGAGGCGAAAGCUUUGCUAAUACCGCAUACGAUCUACGGAUGAAAGCAGGGGACCGCAAGGCCUUGCGCGGACGGAGCGGCCGAUGGCAGACUAGGCAGUUGGUGGGAUAAAAGCUUACCAAGCCGACGAUCUGUAGCUGGUCUGAGAGGAUGAUCAGCCACACUGGGACUGAGAAACGGCCCAGACUCCUACGGGAGGCAGCAGUGGGGAAUUUUGGACAAGGGGCGCAAGCCUGAUCUAGCCAUGCCGCGUGCAGGAUGAAGGCCUUCGGGUUGUAAACUGCUUUUGUACGGAACGAAAAGCCUUCUUUUAAUACAGGAGGGUCAUGACGGUACCGGAAGAAUAAGCACCGGCUAACUACGUG
Molecule: ribosomal RNA, 482 nt
Filed under: uncultured bacterium
Lineage: Bacteria
Description: partial 16S ribosomal RNA
Rfam family: Bacterial small subunit ribosomal RNA
Source: RNAcentral